This 292-nucleotide ribosomal RNA is filed under the name uncultured archaeon. RNAcentral describes it as "partial 16S ribosomal RNA". It matches the Rfam family "Archaeal small subunit ribosomal RNA", at positions 345 to 637 of the family's 1478-position model. The record is from RNAcentral.
AGCCUUUACAAUGCACGCAAGUGCGAUAAGGGGACCCCGAGUGUUGGUGCCUAGCAUCAACUGUCUAACUGUCUAAAAAACAGUUAUUAGCAAGAGCCGGGUAAAACCGGUGCCAGCCGCCGCGGUAACACCGGCGGCUCGAGUGGUGACCGCUAUUAUUGGGUCUAAAGGGUCCGUAGCCGGCCUAAUAAGUUCUUUGGGAAAUCUGGCGGCUUAACCGUCAGGCUGCUGAGGGAUACUGUUAGGCUUGAGACCAGGAGAGGCUAGAGGUACCUCGGGGGUAGGGGUGAAA